UUCACACAAUUUCUAUAAUCACAAACUUCCUCUGUCAAAACACAUACACAACUCUCAAUAAACAACAAUCAUAAUCUUCCAUCCAUAAUCAAUCUUUCAAUAAAUUCUCAUAUAAUUCAAUCACAAAAUAUUCCAAUUAUAUAAUCGAUAACUCAUAAAUCAAUCUCUGAUUUAUUCCACAAACUUACUUCUGAGUAUUCAGAAACUAUCCAUUACUCUUCAACAACAAAGAAACAAAGAGGUAGCACCAAGCUUACCCUUGCUCAUGACUAUCACAAUCUGGCCCUCAGACUAACUUUUAUAACUCCUAUAUACUUACUCUCUAUUCUCAAAUUCUAACCAAAAUAUUGUAAUUAACCGCUUUUAAUAACUAAGUUAACCAUCUGUGUUCCUGAACUAACUAUUCUAUGGAAUAUUA
RNAcentral lists this long non-coding RNA (418 nucleotides) under Physcomitrium patens. RNAcentral describes it as "long non-coding RNA (PPAT_LNC008280)". The record is from RNAcentral. Lineage: Eukaryota; Viridiplantae; Streptophyta; Bryopsida; Funariales; Funariaceae.